Molecule: unclassified non-coding RNA, 1764 nt
Filed under: Leishmania donovani
Lineage: Eukaryota; Euglenozoa; Kinetoplastea; Trypanosomatida; Trypanosomatidae
Description: gene:unknown
Source: RNAcentral
CCCUUCUUUUUGUGUUGAAACCCCUCAUAACGAGAGACACCUCCCAGUGCGUGGUAUCUCAGGUUUCACUAGCCACACUCCGUGUGGUGAAGCCAGGCAGCCUCCCUAUCCCCUUCCGAUGCACAGCCACCUCUGGUGGUGACAGGGCUGAGUGCCUACGGCGUGGGGGAAGGCCAGAGCGAUGCAUCGCGAUUGAUGUGGACGGCCAGGCUCUGCACGGCGCCGCGUCAGAGCGCUCUGCGACGGUGCGCGCGCUUGCACUAACCCAUAUGAUUAGGCAGAGUGUCAUCGCGGCUCCAACGCAUCCCACGCCCGGCCCUAACUGCCCACUGGUGUGGGGAGCCCGAGUACCAUCCCUGAUGGUGGACACACACCGUGCGGCGACCGGCAUGAUGGGGGAGCGGCCUGCGAGGCGGCCGUGGUGGGUAGAGUUUGAGGCAGAGGCCAUGCUCAGAUGGCUGAGUCGGCGCAUUGCUGUAGCACGUGUGUCUCACGCUGCUUCGCACCAGGCGAUGCGGUGCCUGUGACGGGCCAGGGAUAGGUUGGCGCUUAGCCGAUGCUUUAUCUGGGAGACAUGGAGCCGCGUUGGAGGCAAAAAGCUUUCCUUGAUGCUUGCCGACUUGCGCCCCUCUUCUCUGCGUAAUGUGGCGAUGUGUUGUGUCUCCCUCUCCUUGUCUUUAUGCUGCACUGGAGUGAACGUCUGAUUGGUGCUGCGAUCUCUCUCCCCCAGUCUAUCCGGUGUUUUGUGCCGCACCGCAGCUUAUGCAUCCACGUUUCUUUGCUUCGGGUAGUGCACAGACAGGCACACGCAAACGUGCGGAGAUGUGCAUGUGCAGGUGCACUGGGUGGAGCGGAACGCACACGGGAUCUUUGUCAGCGCUUCAUGUGUCGCGAUCUCGUCACUCAUCUGUGUAUUUCAGCGCCGCCUUCCUGAGAUCGCGCUGGUGUGUCGCAGCGCUCUGGUUUCUUUCUUCCGCUCCUAUGCUUGCCGCUUGUUUUUUUUUUCUUUGCGUGUCUGUCUGUGUUGGUAUUGUGCACGUGUACUAGAAUGGGUGCGAGCACCUCCUAUACUAUGUUGUAGUCGUGCCUUGGACAGUGUAUGCGGGCAAGGAGCUUGCGCCACCUCUCUCUCCUCAUCACGACCACCUCUGCUCUCGUAGGCCGGCCAGCGAUGGCGCUGACCCCUGUCGGAUGGUGGGGAGCCAACGUGAGGAGUUGCCCCCCCCCCUGUGGUUGCUCUGUUGUGUUUAUCAUCGCGCGCUGUUCUCCGGACACGACAGCGCGCUUCGACGGGGAAGGGAGGGGAGUAACGAUCGAGCUUUAUUUGUCCAGUGGAAGCCAUGACUCUAUGUCACCUACCAGGGCUGCUUCCAGUUUCCGUCUUCGCUGCGCAUGGGCCCCGCUGCCGUUAUGGUGCCUUCUCGCCCGUCACUUCUACGGUUUAUGUCUUUAUAGUACGUCCCACCUCCCAUCCCGACUUUCCCCUUCACGUCUCCACCCGGUGGGACAGGAAGAUAGAAGGGCAGGUGGCACGGAAGCCUCGCCAGGACAAGCAAACACAUCGUAUACGCGCAUCUGCGCUCUUGUACAAGAGGACGCUCUCUAUUCGCGCUGACAUGGCCUCCGUGUCCGCGGCGCAGCGGAACACACUUCAGCAGUCGAAUGGGCUUGGGCGAAUGGGGCGGACUCGCUAAGGACCUCGGAGCAACUCACUCUCCCGCUUCUUCCAUCUCUCUCCCGCCUCUCUCACGCACGCUGGCAAAG